AGUGGAAUUUCGAUUGAUUUUUAAAAGAUUUUUUAAUGCGUAUAACUCACAGUAACUAUAUAUUUUAGUACACUGCAGUGCGGCGCUGCUGUUGUAUUUCAGUAUCGUUGUACUAACACUAUAAUACAUGCAUUUAGAUUGCAUUAUAAUUGUUGAGGGGCACACAAUAAGACACAUUUUACCAUACGAGAUUUAGAUAGGUACAUAAUAAUAUAUACUUACGUAGUGACGUACACAUUACGCGCUAUACAGUAAUAAUAUAACAAUAUACCCGUAUUAUGUUAGCAAUUAAACAUUGCAACAUAUGUUUGAACUUUCGCAGUGCGGAUUUAUUUGAACGACACCGUUUCGCCGUUCAAAAAUUAUCGGCCUAUUAUAAUAUUUGUUUAAAAUAUAUUUGCUUUUAACCGUUAAUUACAUUGUAUAGUUUCCUAGUCAAAAUUCAUGUCGUGAUCGAAUUUGUUCGCGUCCGUAUGCGGGAAAACCGGGAUUUUCGAAAAAUUCAUUAAAACACUCUAAAUUUACGGCGAUUGUACGGAAAAAAACGACCGCAGUUACAAAAAAAAAAAAACAUUAAAUUAGAAUCGAAAAUAUUACGUUAAAACGGCAAAAUUAAAAAUGAUUCGUAUAACGGUGUGUGCUAUAAUGUUGUAUCGUGUAUUGUACAGAAAUUCGGAGAGUUCAUAUGAUUAUGAUUGUUUCAAAUAGUGUCCAAAGCGAACAAAAGUAAAUACAAUUUCAGGUAAAUUCAAAUGAUGGCGUACGGUACAUCAUAUGAACCCUUUAUAAUCUCGGUGUGUUCGCAGCCAAAGACAAAAUAAUUUCACGGAUUUCAGGCAAAAAUCCUCAUUAAACUAUGAGACCCAUAGGUACACGGUGCUGCGAUAAACUUUUAUCGUGUAUGCAAUUAUAUUGACCGUCGGUUACCAAAUAGCCAGGUUUCCGCAAACAACCGUGAUGGCACACCCAUCAGCAGUGUUAGAUGUUUGUUUCUCUUACGGAUAACAGACGAAUUUUAAAACCAGUGUACGAAUUGUAUUAAUUUAUCGCUUUGAAAUAUAUUGGAGGUACUUUAACGUCCAUAUGAGUAUAACAAUAUUAAUAACUACUUACCUUAUAUUAAUGCUA
Molecule: non-coding RNA, 1128 nt
Organism: Cinara cedri
Lineage: Eukaryota; Metazoa; Arthropoda; Insecta; Hemiptera; Aphididae
Source: the annotation of a GenBank genome assembly